GAUGAACGCUGGCGGCGUGCCUAAUACAUGCAAGUCGAGCGAACAGAUAAGGAGCUUGCUCCUUUGACGUUAGCGGCGGACGGGUGAGUAACACGUGGGUAACCUACCUAUAAGACUGGAAUAACUCCGGGAAACCGGGGCUAAUGCCGGAUAACAUUUAGAACCGCAUGGUUCUAAAGUGAAAGAUGGUUUUGCUAUCACUUAUAGAUGGACCCGCGCCGUAUUAGCUAGUUGGUAAGGUAACGGCUUUCCAAGGCAACGAUACGUAGCCGACCUGAGAGGGUGAUCGGCCACACUAGAACUGAGACACGGUCCAGACUCCUACGGGAGGCAGCAGUAGGGAAUCUUCCGCAGUGGGCGAAAGCCUGACGGAGCAACGCCGCGUGAGUGAUGAAGGUCUUCGGAUCGUAAAACUCUGUUAUUAGGGAAGAACAAAUGUGUAAGUAACUGUGCACGUCUUGACGGUACCUAAUCAGAAAGCCACGGCUAACUACGUG
RNAcentral lists this ribosomal RNA (497 nucleotides) under uncultured bacterium. RNAcentral describes it as "partial 16S ribosomal RNA". It matches the Rfam family "Bacterial small subunit ribosomal RNA", at positions 28 to 507 of the family's 1533-position model. The record is from RNAcentral.